RNAcentral lists this ribosomal RNA (253 nucleotides) under uncultured bacterium. Its description in RNAcentral is "partial 16S ribosomal RNA". It matches the Rfam family "Bacterial small subunit ribosomal RNA", at positions 524 to 776 of the family's 1533-position model. The record is from RNAcentral.
UACGUAGGGUGCAAGCGUUAAUCGGGAUUACUGGGCGUAAAGCGUGCGCAGGCGGCUUUGCAAGACAGAUGUGAAAUCCCCGGGCUCAACCUGGGAACUGCAUUUGUGACUGCAUGGCUAGAGUACGGUAGAGGGGGAUAGAAUUCCGCGUGUAGCAGUGAAAUGCGUAGAUAUGCGGAGGAACACCGAUGGCGAAGGCAAUCCCCUGGACCUGUACUGACGCUCAUGCACGAAAGCGUGGGGAGCAAACAGG